Molecule: ribosomal RNA, 460 nt
Filed under: uncultured bacterium
Lineage: Bacteria
Description: partial 16S ribosomal RNA
Rfam family: Bacterial small subunit ribosomal RNA
Source: RNAcentral
CCUACGGGAGGCAGCAGUGAGGAAUAUUGGUCAAUGGACGCAAGUCUGAACCAGCCAUGCCGCGUGCAGGAAGACGGCUCUAUGAGUUGUAAACUUCUUUUGUCCGGGGGUAAACGCAGAUACGCGUAUCUGUCUGAAAGUAUCGUACGAAUAACGAUCGGCGAACUCCGUGCCAGCAGCCGAGGUAAUACGGAAGAUUCAAGUGUUAUCCGGAAUUAUUUGGUUUAAAGGGUGCGUAGGGGGUCGGAUAAGUUAGAGGUGAAAUCCCGAGGCUCAACUUCGGAAUUGCCUCUGAUACUGUUCGGCUAGAGAGUAGUUGCGGUAGGCGGAAUGUAUGGUGUAGCGGUGAAAUGCUUAGAGAUCAUACAGAACACCGAUUGCGAAGGCAGCUUACCAAGCUACUUCUGACGUUGAGGCACGAAAGCGUGGGGAGCAAACAGGAUUAGAUACCCCAGUAGUC